This 246-nucleotide ribosomal RNA is filed under the name uncultured bacterium. RNAcentral describes it as "partial 16S ribosomal RNA". It matches the Rfam family "Bacterial small subunit ribosomal RNA", at positions 86 to 334 of the family's 1533-position model. The record is from RNAcentral.
AGAUGGCGACCGGCGCACGGGUGAGUAACACGUAUCCAACCUGCCGAUAACUCGGGGAUAGCCUUUCGAAAGAAAGAUUAAUACCCGAUGGUAUAUCAGACCGCAUGGUUUGAUUAUUAAAGAAUUUCGGUUAUCGAUGGGGAUGCGUUCCAUUAGGCAGUUGGUGAGGUAACGGCUCACCAAACCUUCGAUGGAUAGGGGUUCUGAGAGGAAGGUCCCCCACAUUGGAACUGAGACACGGUCCAA